This 220-nucleotide ribosomal RNA is filed under the name uncultured bacterium. Its description in RNAcentral is "partial 16S ribosomal RNA". It matches the Rfam family "Bacterial small subunit ribosomal RNA", at positions 524 to 743 of the family's 1533-position model. The record is from RNAcentral.
UACAGAGGGGGCAAGCGUUGUUCGGAAUUACUGGGCGUAAAGGGCGCGUAGGCGGCCUUCUAAGUCGAACGUGAAAUCCCCGGGCUCAACCCGGGAACUGCGUCCGAUACUGGAAGGCUUGAAUCCGGGAGAGGGAUGUGGAAUUCCAGGUGUAGCGGUGAAAUGCGUAGAUAUCUGGAGGAACACCGGUGGCGAAGGCGACAUCCUGGACCGGUAUUGA